GAUAUGCGAUGAUGUAUGAGGUUGCGCCAUAACCCACGGCGGUAAUUCAUACGGAGUAUGUCCGAUUUUAAACCGGGCGA
This 80-nucleotide non-coding RNA is filed under the name unclassified sequences. The record is from Rfam.